CGCGUAGGUGGUAAGGCAAGUAAGAUGUGAAAGCCCUGGGCUUAACCUGGGAAGUGCAUCUUAAACUGCUUAACUAGAGUAUGGUAGAGGGUAGUGGAAUUUCCGGUGUAGCGGUGAAAUGCGUAGAGAUCGGAAGGAACGCCAGUGGUGAAGACGACUACCUGGACCAAUACUGACACUGAGGCGCGAAAGCGUGGGGAUCAAACA
Molecule: ribosomal RNA, 207 nt
Filed under: uncultured bacterium
Lineage: Bacteria
Description: partial 16S ribosomal RNA
Rfam family: Bacterial small subunit ribosomal RNA
Source: RNAcentral